CGUCGUCGAGCGGCCGGGCAUAAAUCCGAACUGGUUUUCCGAGAUAGACACUAUCCGUCUCAGCCUCACCUCGACCACUCUCUCCCAUAUCUUCAUAGAGUGACUCAGUAACUUAAUCCCCCUAUAGUUAUUGUAACACUGAAUGUCCCCCUUAUUCUUAUAGAGGGGGAUCAUGGUACUCCACCUCCACGCCUCGGGCAUCUUUG
RNAcentral lists this long non-coding RNA (206 nucleotides) under Capsicum annuum. RNAcentral describes it as "long non-coding RNA (CANN_LNC020122)". The record is from RNAcentral. Lineage: Eukaryota; Viridiplantae; Streptophyta; Magnoliopsida; Solanales; Solanaceae.